RNAcentral lists this ribosomal RNA (515 nucleotides) under uncultured bacterium. RNAcentral's name for it is "bacterial SSU rRNA". It matches the Rfam family "Bacterial small subunit ribosomal RNA", at positions 9 to 526 of the family's 1533-position model. The record is from RNAcentral.
GAGUUUGAUCCUGGCUCAGGAUGAACGCUGGCGGCGUGCCUAACACAUGCAAGUCGAACGAAGCACCUUACCUGAUUCUUCGGAUGAAGGUCUGGUGACUGAGUGGCGGACGGGUGAGUAACACGUGAGUAACCUGCCUCUGAGAGUGGGAUAGCUUCUGGAAACGGAUGGUAAUACCGCAUGAAAUCAUAGUAUCGCAUGGUACAAUGAUCAAAGAUUUAUCGCUCAGAGAUGGACUCGCGUCUGAUUAGCUAGUUGGUAAGGUAACGGCUUACCAAGGCGACGAUCAGUAGCCGGACUGAGAGGGUGAACGGCCACAUUGGGACUGAGACACGGCCCAGACUCCUACGGGAGGCAGCAGUGGGGAAUAUUGCACAAUGGGGGAAACCCUGACGCAGCGACGCCGCGUGAAGGAAGAAGUAUCUCGGUAUGUAAACUUCUAUCAGCAGGGAAGAUAAUGACGGUACCUGACUAAGAAGCCCCGGCUAACUACGUGCCAGCCGCCGCGGUAAUUC